This 1203-nucleotide ribosomal RNA is filed under the name Macrosteles quadrimaculatus. Its description in RNAcentral is "16S ribosomal RNA". The stretch from base 964 to 1122 matches the Rfam family "Archaeal large subunit ribosomal RNA", at positions 2544 to 2703 of the family's 2987-position model. The record is from RNAcentral. Lineage: Eukaryota; Metazoa; Arthropoda; Insecta; Hemiptera; Cicadellidae.
AUAUUAUUUAUAUAUAGUUUUUUAUAUCUUUUAUAAUUACUUAUUUUUUUUUUAGUAUUUUUUAAAACUAAUAUAUUUUAUUUACUGAUAAGGAUUAUUAUAUAAUAUUUUGAUUUAAUUUUUAGUACCUUUUGUAUCAGGGUGGGUUAAUUAAUUUAAUUAUUUUAUUAUCCCGAAUUAAAAAGUUAUAAUAUUAUUUUAUUCUAAAUGUUUUAAUAUUUUUUUUAAAUUAAUAUUAGUAGUUAUAUACUAUUCAUUUUUUAUAUAUCUGGUUAUUAAGGAAUUUAAUUAAAUUAAGUGUUUAAUUUUAAAUAAAAACUUAAUUAUUUAUUAAACAUAAUUAUAUUAGGGAUAAUCUUAAUAUUUUAAUAUAAUUUUAUAUUUAAAAUAUUUUUUUACUUUAAAAUUUUGUAUUAAGUUUUUAUAAAAUUAUUAUUGUUAAUUAUUAUUUUAUAUAAUUUAUUUUUUUACUUGAUUUUUUUAUAUAAUAUAUAUAUUUAUUUAAUAAUGAUUUAAUUAGUAUGGUAUUUAUUUAAUUUUAAAUGAACUCGACAAAUUUUAUUUCCAACUGUUUAACAAAAACAUUUCUUUUUGAUUUUAAAAAAAGUAUUUUCUGCCCAAUGAUUAAUUUUAAAUGGCCGCAGUAUACUAACUGUGCAAAGGUAGCAAAAUAACUAGUUUCUUAAUUAGAAGCUUGAAUGAAUGGAUAUAUGUGAUUUAAAUUUUAUUGAAGUUAUUACUAUAAUUUUAAUUUUGAGUCAAAAUGCUCAAUUAUUUUUUAGGGACGAUAAGACCCUAUAGAACUUAAUAUAUAAAUUAAUUAAUUUUUUUAUUAUAUAAAUUGUAUUAAUUUAUAUUUUUUGUUGGGGUGAUAGUUAAAUUAUAACUUUAAUUUUUUUAAUCAUUAGUUUAUGUAAUUUUGGAUCCACUUUAAAAAUGAUAUUAAGAUUAAGUUACCUUAGGGAUAACAGCGUAAUUUUAGUGGGGAGUUCAUAUCUAUACUAAGUUUUGCGACCUCGAUGUUGAAUUAAGAAAAAAAAAAGAAGCAGAAUUCUUUUGUUUAAGUCUGUUCGACUUUUAAAUUCUUACAUGAUUUGAGUUCAGACCGGCGUAAGCCAGGUUGGUUUCUAUCUUAAAAUUUUAUAAUUUAAAUUAGUUAGUACGAAAGGACCAUUAAUUUAUACAUUGUUAUUUUUUUUUAUU